Molecule: ribosomal RNA, 478 nt
Filed under: uncultured bacterium
Lineage: Bacteria
Description: partial 16S ribosomal RNA
Rfam family: Bacterial small subunit ribosomal RNA
Source: RNAcentral
GAUGAACGCUGGCGGCGUGCUUAACACAUGCAAGUCGAACGAGAAAUGUAGACGGAAACCUUCGGGCGGAAGCCUUAAUUUCGAGUGGCGGACGGGUGAGUAACGCGUGGGUAACCUGCCUCAUACAGGGGGAUAACAGUUGGAAACGACUGUUAAUACCGCAUAAGACCACAGCAUCGCAUGAUGCGGGGGUAAAAACUCCGGUGGUAUGAGAUGGACCCGCGUUCGAUUAGCCAGUUGGCGGGGUAACGGCCCACCAAAGCGACGAUCGAUAGCCGAUCUGAGAGGAUGACCGGCCACAUUGGGACUGAGACACGGCCCAAACUCCUACGGGAGGCAGCAGUGGGGAAUAUUGCACAAUGGGGGAAACCCUGAUGCAGCGACGCCGCGUGAGUGAAGAAGUACUUCGGUAUGUAAAGCUCUAUCAGCAGGGAAGAAAAUGACGGUACCUGAGUAAGAAGCCCCGGCUAACUACGUG